RNAcentral lists this non-coding RNA (46 nucleotides) under Schistosoma mansoni. Lineage: Eukaryota; Metazoa; Platyhelminthes; Trematoda; Strigeidida; Schistosomatidae. The record is from RNAcentral.
UCAUUGCUGAGGAGUCCCACAACAGGAGGAAACGCCCGUCCAGUGC